Molecule: ribosomal RNA, 429 nt
Filed under: Bacteroidota bacterium
Lineage: Bacteria; Pseudomonadati; Bacteroidota
Description: Bacteroidetes bacterium partial 16S ribosomal RNA
Rfam family: Bacterial small subunit ribosomal RNA
Source: RNAcentral
UAGGGAAUCUUCCGCAAUGGACGCAAGUCUGAUGGAGCAACGCCGCGUGAGUGAAGAAGGAUUUCGGUUCGUAAAACUCUGUUGUUAGAGAAGAACAGCGCAUAGAGUAACUGUUAUGCGUGUGACGGUAUCUAACCAGAAAGCCACGGCUAACUACGUGCCAGCAGCCGCGGUAAUACGUAGGUGGCAAGCGUUGUCCGGAUUUAUUGGGCGUAAAGCGAGCGCAGGCGGUCAAUUAAGUCUGAUGUGAAAGCCCCCGGCUCAACCGGGGAGGGUCAUUGAAAACAGGUUGACUGGAGUGCAGAAGAGGAAGGUGGAAUUCCAGGUGUAGCGGAGAAAUGCGUAGAUAUAUGGGGGAACACCAGUGGAGAAGGCGACUCUGUGGUCUGUUACUGACGCUGAGGCUCGAAAGCGGGGGUAGCAAACAGG